This 78-nucleotide transfer RNA is filed under the name Microvirgula aerodenitrificans. RNAcentral's name for it is "tRNA-Pro". It matches the Rfam family "tRNA". From Rfam's summary of the family: Transfer RNA (tRNA) molecules are approximately 80 nucleotides in length. Their secondary structure includes four short double-helical elements and three loops (D, anti-codon, and T loops). Further hydrogen bonds mediate the characteristic L-shaped molecular structure. tRNAs have two regions of fundamental functional importance: the anti-codon, which is responsible for specific mRNA codon recognition, and the 3' end, to which the tRNAs corresponding amino acid is attached (by aminoacyl-tRNA synthetases). tRNAs cope with the degeneracy of the genetic code in two manners: having more than one tRNA (with a specific anti-codon) for a particular amino acid; and 'wobble' base-pairing, i.e. permitting non-standard base-pairing at the 3rd anti-codon position. RNAcentral also lists the same sequence under 3 other names. Lineage: Bacteria; Pseudomonadati; Pseudomonadota; Betaproteobacteria; Neisseriales; Aquaspirillaceae. The record is from RNAcentral.
CGGGGCGUAGCGCAGCCUGGUUAGCGCACCUGAUUUGGGAUCAGGGGGUCGUGAGUUCGAAUCCCACCGCCCCGACCA